This 544-nucleotide long non-coding RNA is filed under the name Monodelphis domestica (gray short-tailed opossum). Its description in RNAcentral is "lncRNA (ENSMODG00000031110.2)". Lineage: Eukaryota; Metazoa; Chordata; Mammalia; Didelphimorphia; Didelphidae. The record is from RNAcentral.
UACCUCAGCCUAGGGAGGGGGCUUUUGGUCUCAUUUUGGGCUUGAUCAUGUCAGGCAUACUGUAGACUGCCUUGUCAUGGGACUUGUAACUUUACCUUGAUCUUUGAUAUGGGUUAGCUCUGACUGUCUGUCAGGGCUUACACAGGCUAACACACUGUGAACUGUGUUGCACUAGGACUUGGGACUUCUCUCUGGAAUUACAGACCAGAGAUACAGAGAAGCAUUGAGGCAAGUGACACUGGAAACCUCUGCUCUGUCUGGAAAAGAUCAACCUACUCCCCCAUCUGUAGGAUAUUUUCAAGAAUUGAAGUCAUUGGUUCACACCUUCUGCUGAUCAUGAGUGCUGUUGAAUGAGAUUAAGAAACUGAACCAGGAGCAAAAUGAUCUCUGGUCACACAAGUGUCAGAGACAGAAUUCAAAUCCAGAUUUCUUCUGACCUCCAAAUUUAUCAUGCAUUCCACUAUGCUAGGAGAUCUUAACAGAAGUCCACAAACCUGUUGUGUUUUUUAAUAUAAUGAUGUCAAUAAAUUUGACUCCCCUUUCA